CCUAGAGUUGUAGGCUUUGCCUGCUAUCUCUUACCCAUGUCUUUUGAGUACCUUACGUUUCCUCGGUGGGUUCGCCCACCGAUUGGACAAAUUUAAACCCUCUGCAGUUGAAAUCAGCGUCUGAAAAAACUUAAUAGUUA
RNAcentral lists this unclassified non-coding RNA (140 nucleotides) under soil metagenome. RNAcentral's name for it is "partial internal transcribed spacer 1". The record is from RNAcentral.